GACGAACGCUGGCGGCGUGCUUAACACGUGCAAGUCGAACGGAAAGGCCCUGCUUUUGUGGGGUGCUCGAGUGGCGAAAGGGUGAGUAACACGUGAGUAACCUGCCCUUGACUUUGGGAUAACUUCAGGAAACUGGGGCUAAUACCGGAUAGGAGCUCCUGCUGCAUGGUGGGGGUUGGAAAGUUUCGGCGGUUGGGGAUGGACUCGCGGCUUAUCAGCUUGUUGGUGGGGUAGUGGCUUACCAAGGCUUUGACGGGUAGCCGGCCUGAGAGGGUGACCGGCAAAAUUGGGACUGAGAUACGGCCCAGACUCCUACGGGAGGCAGCAGUGGGGAAUAUUGAACAAUGGGCGGAAGCCUGAUGCAGCAACGCCGCGUGCGGGAUGACGGCCUUCGGGUUGUAAACCGCUUUCGCCUGUGACGAAGCGUGAGUGACGGUAAUGGGUGAAGAAGCACCGGCUAACUACGUG
This 468-nucleotide ribosomal RNA is filed under the name uncultured bacterium. RNAcentral describes it as "partial 16S ribosomal RNA". It matches the Rfam family "Bacterial small subunit ribosomal RNA", at positions 28 to 507 of the family's 1533-position model. The record is from RNAcentral.